GGGUUGUGAGGUUAAGCGACUAAGCGUACACGGUGGAUGCCCUGGCAGUCAGAGGCGAUGAAGGACGUGCUAAUCUGCGAUAAGCGCCGGUAAGGUGAUAUGAACCGUUAUAACCGGCGAUUUCCGAAUGGGGAAACCCAGUGUGACUCGUCACACUAUCAUUAACUGAAUCCAUAGGUUAAUGAGGCGAACCGGGGGAACUGAAACAUCUAAGUACCCCGAGGAAAAGAAAUCAACCGAGAUUCCCCCAGUAGCGGCGAGCGAACGGGGAGGAGCCCAGAGCCUGAAUCAGCAUGUGUGUUAGUGGAAGCGUCUGGAAAGGCGCGCGAUACAGGGUGACAGCCCCGUACACAAAAGCGCAUGUGCUGUGAGCUCGAUGAGUAGGGCGGGACACGUGGUAUCCUGUCUGAAUAUGGGGGGACCAUCCUCCAAGGCUAAAUACUCCUGACUGACCGAUAGUGAACCAGUACCGUGAGGGAAAGGCGAAAAGAACCCCGGCGAGGGGAGUGAAAAAGAACCUGAAACCGUGUACGUACAAGCAGUGGGAGCACAGGUUUACCUGUGUGACUGCGUACCUUUUGUAUAAUGGGUCAGCGACUUAUAUUCUGUAGCAAGGUUAACCGUAUAGGGGAGCCGGAGGGAAACCGAGUCUUAACCGGGCGUUAAGUUGCAGGGUAUAGACCCGAAACCCGGUGAUCUAGCCAUGGGCAGGUUGAAGGUUGGGUAACACUAACUGGAGGACCGAACCGACUAAUGUUGAAAAAUUAGCGGAUGACCUGUGGCUGGGGGUGAAAGGCCAAUCAAACCGGGAGAUAGCUGGUUCUCCCCGAAAGCUAUUUAGGUAGCGCCUCGUGAAUUCAUCUCCGGGGGUAGAGCACUGUUUCGGCUAGGGGGCCAUCCCGGCUUACCAACCCGAUGCAAACUGCGAAUACCGGAGAAUGUUAUCACGGGAGACACACGGCGGGUGCUAACGUCCGUCGUGAAGAGGGAAACAACCCAGACCGCCAGCUAAGGUCCCAAAGUCAUGGUUAAGUGGGAAACGAUGUGGGAAGGCCCAGACAGCCAGGAUGUUGGCUUAGAAGCAGCCAUCAUUUAAAGAAAGCGUAAUAGCUCACUGGUCGAGUCGGCCUGCGCGGAAGAUGUAACGGGGCUAAACCAUGCACCGAAGCUGCGGCAGCGACGCUGAUGCGUUGUUGGGUAGGGGAGCGUUCUGUAAGCCUGCGAAGGUGGCCUGUGAGGGUUGCUGGAGGUAUCAGAAGUGCGAAUGCUGACAUAAGUAACGAUAAAGCGGGUGAAAAGCCCGCUCGCCGGAAGACCAAGGGUUCCUGUCCAACGUUAAUCGGGGCAGGGUGAGUCGACCCCUAAGGCGAGGCCGAAAGGCGUAGUCGAUGGGAAACGGGUUAAUAUUCCCGUACUUGGUGUUACUGCGAAGGGGGGACGGAGAAGGCUAUGUUGGCCGGGCGACGGUUGUCCCGGUUUAAGCGUGUAGGUGUGUGUUCCAGGUAAAUCCGGUUCACUUUAACACUGAGGCGUGACGACGAGGCACUACGGUGCUGAAGCAACAAAUGCCCUGCUUCCAGGAAAAGCCUCUAAGCAUCAGGUAACAUCAAAUCGUACCCCAAACCGACACAGGUGGUCAGGUAGAGAAUACCAAGGCGCUUGAGAGAACUCGGGUGAAGGAACUAGGCAAAAUGGUGCCGUAACUUCGGGAGAAGGCACGCUGACAUGUAGGUGAAGUGAUUUACUCAUGGAGCUGAAGUCAGUCGAAGAUACCAGCUGGCUGCAACUGUUUAUUAAAAACACAGCACUGUGCAAACACGAAAGUGGACGUAUACGGUGUGACGCCUGCCCGGUGCCGGAAGGUUAAUUGAUGGGGUCAGCGCAAGCGAAGCUCCUGAUCGAAGCCCCGGUAAACGGCGGCCGUAACUAUAACGGUCCUAAGGUAGCGAAAUUCCUUGUCGGGUAAGUUCCGACCUGCACGAAUGGCGUAAUGAUGGCCAGGCUGUCUCCACCCGAGACUCAGUGAAAUUGAACUCGCUGUGAAGAUGCAGUGUACCCGCGGCAAGACGGAAAGACCCCGUGAACCUUUACUAUAGCUUGACACUGAACAUUGAGCCUUGAUGUGUAGGAUAGGUGGGAGGCUUUGAAGUGUGGACGCCAGUCUGCAUGGAGCCGACCUUGAAAUACCACCCUUUAAUGUUUGAUGUUCUAACGUGGACCCGUUACCCGGGUUGCGGACAGUGUCUGGUGGGUAGUUUGACUGGGGCGGUCUCCUCCUAAAGAGUAACGGAGGAGCACGAAGGUUGGCUAAUCCUGGUCGGACAUCAGGAGGUUAGUGCAAUGGCAUAAGCCAGCUUGACUGCGAGCGUGACGGCGCGAGCAGGUGCGAAAGCAGGUCAUAGUGAUCCGGUGGUUCUGAAUGGAAGGGCCAUCGCUCAACGGAUAAAAGGUACUCCGGGGAUAACAGGCUGAUACCGCCCAAGAGUUCAUAUCGACGGCGGUGUUUGGCACCUCGAUGUCGGCUCAUCACAUCCUGGGGCUGAAGUAGGUCCCAAGGGUAUGGCUGUUCGCCAUUUAAAGUGGUACGCGAGCUGGGUUUAGAACGUCGUGAGACAGUUCGGUCCCUAUCUGCCGUGGGCGCUGGAGAACUGAGGGGGGCUGCUCCUAGUACGAGAGGACCGGAGUGGACGCAUCACUGGUGUUCGGGUUGUCAUGCCAAUGGCACUGCCCGGUAGCUAAAUGCGGAAGAGAUAAGUGCUGAAAGCAUCUAAGCACGAAACUUGCCCCGAGAUGAGUUCUCCCUGAGACUUAGAGUCUCCUGAAGGAACGUUGAAGACGACGACGUUGAUAGGCCGGGUGUGUAAGCGCAGCGAUGCGUUGAGCUAACCGGUACUAAUGAACCGUGAGGCUUAACCUUACAACGCCGAAG
Molecule: ribosomal RNA, 2929 nt
Filed under: Salmonella enterica subsp. enterica serovar Saintpaul
Lineage: Bacteria; Pseudomonadati; Pseudomonadota; Gammaproteobacteria; Enterobacterales; Enterobacteriaceae
Description: 23S ribosomal RNA
Rfam family: Bacterial large subunit ribosomal RNA
Source: RNAcentral